CCUGGGGAGAGGGAGCCACAGCUGAGCCCCUGGGGGAUCAAGGAGCAGUGGCUCAGAAGCCAAGGGCCAGUGUUGGGCAGGGCUGGGGUACCACUGACUGGGGUCACUUCCUGUAGGGUGUAGAAUAAGGUGCUGUCCUUGUCACGGUCCGUGGCCUGUAGUUCUGCCUCAGGGAUGACCGUAGAGUUCACUUUGGUGUCCUGGGGGCAGACACAGGCAUGGCCUCUGUGGACCAGUGUCCUGGAGGAGCCCCUAGCCACUAGCCCUCUGGGCCCACAUCCGCCCAGUGCCCAGCCCAGGCAGUGCCAGCUCUGGCUCCGCCCGACUCACCUCCUGCACGUCCUGCUCCUUGGUGGUGAAGGGGAACUCUGGGGCGUUGUCGUUGACAUCCAGCACCACCACAAACACCCUCAGCUGCGUCACCUGGGGGUCGACAGCCUUGGCCACAGCCCUCCCGGCUGCCUGCCUCACUCCUGCCUCACUCCUGUCCAUCCACCCGGGUGGUCGUCCAUUCGCCCACUUUCCCUUCUGCUUGUUUGUUUGAAGGUGAUGGUGACCCAGCAGGGCAGGGCCCAUCACCAGGGACCAGACUCAGCCCUGGGGCUCCCAGACCACACAGGUAGGUUACCAAGGUGGCCGGAGGUGGCAAGCACUCCGGGGACAGAUAAGUGGCCUGAGGAGGCUACCAGCAGAACCUCAAAAGAGGACCCUGGGGGCUGGGCUGGGGCUCGGAGGUGGAGCACUCGGCUCGCACGCGUGAGGCACUGGGUUCCCUCCUCAGCACCACGUGGAUAUGAGAUAAAGACAUGGUGUCCACCUUUCACUAAAAAAUAGAUCUAGAUAGAUAAAAAGAGGACACGUGUUAGAUGUCACGCUUCCUCAAGAACAACGAAGCAGGGAGAGGGGCCUUCAGAGUGGAAGGCACCUGCAGGGAGAUCGCCAGCCCCUGGGUUGGACUUUGCUCCCAUUCAGACAAGCCGAGGCAGACUCUCAGAGGCCCAGGACAGGUGGACACACCAGGGUUCAGAUGGCGAGGGGAACCGCCCUUCUCCGGUGGACAGGGCAGGAGAAUGUGUCUUGUUUUCUUUGUGGUGCUGGAGAUGGAACCCAGGUCCCCUCACACAGGAGGCAAAGGCCAGCUCUCUGCCACUGAGCUGUGCUUAAAAUGAAGGGUCCCGACCUAUUUUUUAAAAGUUUUUUUAAAUAUAUAUUUUUUAGUUGUAGAUGGACACCAGACCUUAUUUUAUCUGUGGAUUUUUAUGUGGUGCUGAGGAUGGAACUCAGUGCCUCACACCUGCUAGGCAAGUGCUCUGCCACUGAGCCAGCCCCAGCCCCAGGUGCCCACCUAUUAGAGACGACUGCUGAGAUACUUGUGGGGACUGCGGCGGUGUGGCCUGGUGCAGGGCAGGGGCUGCUCACGGUGGAGCUGGGGUGGGGCAGCUCCUGUGGCUUUCCAGCUUGUGGGAGUGUAGGAGGAGGGCUGCCACUGCAGCACAGCAGGGUGGAUGGAGUCCACCAAAGAGGAAAGGUUUCCCUGCCCACCUGAGCAGGUGAGGGGACGGGCGCACCAGGCCAGGCCACACACCCAGCCUGGCCCACCACAGCAGCCCUUGGGCUUGGACUCCUAGUGCGAAGGCAGCUGUGGAAGUGCUGGGCUGUGCCGGGCGGGGCUGGGUCUCCUAGGCUCUCCUGAGACCUCCCACCCAGAGAGGGGACGGAUGGACCAGGGGCAAGAGAGGAAAGGGACCAGUAGGAAGGUUCCAGAAAGGGGAAGCUGGUGACCAAGGCCCUGGUGGGAUGUGGAGGUAGGAAGGGGGGGUUCUGGGGCUGCCUGAGGCGGAGCCCACACUUGCUCCUGAGGGCGGGCUAGUGGGAAGGAAGCCUGGUGGAGCAGUCAGCAGGCCAGGGUGCUUCCAGGUGCUGGGGCCAGGGGCUCAGGGGAGUCUCGGGAGCUUGUUGGGCCAAUGUCCGUGACAGUGUGUCCGCAGCUGGGUUUGUGAGUCUGAAACUCAGGUCCGAGUCUGGGCUGGAGGAAGUGAGGGUGUAGCCGGGAGGGCUGGAGUUUGGAAACACUCCCUGGGUGAGGUCACAGAGGAGGGCCCAGGGCCAGGGAGACAGGUGCACUCACCACGGUGUCCCCCCUCUUGCACUCCAGGUGUGCCUCCAGCAUCGUAUUCUCCUGUGGAGGCAAGUCGGUCUUGCAGGUCACCUGCCUGGUGGUGGCACACGUCCCACUCCACAGGCCAGGAGCCCGAGGCUGAGGGCAGAGCUCGCCCAGGUGGUCAUGGGUGGAUCCGAAAUGCGGAUGGGGUGGACGAGGAUCCGAGGGUCACCUGCUGGCCAUCUGGGACGGAGAUGUUCACCAGGGCUUCCGUGAUGUUUUCAUUCUCCUGCACUUGGAGGAAGGUCUUGUCCACCGAGCAGACUGGGAAGUUGGAGAGGACAGGUCCAGCCACAUUCCUUCUCGUCCUGUCUCCACCCCACACUGGGAAGUGAACCCAGGAGUGCUCCACCACCGAGCUCCAAAACCAGUGCUCUUAUUCCUUCCUGAGUUCUGCUGGAGUGACAGAGCCUCUUCACCGUCUCAAACAGUGGCAGGUGGGAGACAAUGGGGGCAGGAAGAAGCUCUGUGUCCCACUCUAGGCCCAAGGCCACCCUGCUCCGGGUCUCGGUUCUGUGCCAGCAAUGCCCCAGUGGCUGUGCCGAGUUCUCUUGCUCAAGCCUUCAGGGGGAGGGAAGGCUGCUGGCUGUGCCCAGGGCUGCCCAAAGGCACCAGCCGCCCGUCCCACCCCACAGCCCAGACUCUCCAGUCCUUGUGGUGUGAGUACCACCCGUUUCUCUGCCAGUCCACACCCUGAAAUCUUUCAAGUCAGGACCCUCCCCUCCUGAUGGGCUGGUGCUGCACGUCUCUGCCGUCCCAGGGAGCCAGUGCUGGAGAAGGCGAUGGAGUGAUGCACUUGGAGACCCACCUAGAGUUCAGCCUUUUAGCCAAGGGGCCCCAGAAAACAUCACUCGGGUCUGGCGUCACCCCAACCUGAAGUCCACAGAGAAGAUCAUCUCCCUAAGACGUUUUCAUGUACUUUCUUCCUGUGCUCUUUUAUCAUCUGCCAGGGACGGUUCUGGUCCUCCACGCUCACAGCCUCCUCGGGCCACCUCUUUUUUUAAAUAGAUGCACACCAGGUCUUUAUUUUAUGUGGUGCUGAGGAUUGAACCCAGUACCUCACACUUGCGAGGCGGGCGCUCUACAACUGAGCUGCAGCCCCAGCCCUGGCCACCUCUUAAUGUGUCUUUCAGGUGACUCUAGUGUAGUUCUCCUGUUGGGGAUGCCCCCCACCCCCGCCACCGGAACCGGCUCCUGUAGUCGGGCGCUGGCCGUGUCAUUUCUUGAGUGAGUUCUCGGUAGCCCCUGAGGUCUGCGCGGUCGUCACUGGUCGCGGGGACUAAGGGCUAAGGGUAGCCAGGUGGGCCGGGUACGCGGGGCCGGGCUGCAGCGUUGCUGAGGAUCUGGAGAGUGUUGGAGGAGGAUGAGCGCGCGACUCGGGCGCCAGGCGGGGUUGCACCGCCCAGGCCAGACGGGGUUCGGGGCAGGGAGAGAGACAGCCCUGGAGCCUCGGGGAUUGGGAAGAAGGAGACGCCCAAAGCGGCUUUCGGCGGAGCCAGAGCUCGGGUCUUCGGGCGCCCGGCCGGUGGACAGAGCGGAAGGAGACGCGGAUCCGCCUCGGAGCCAGGCGCUUCUAGGAGGUACCCGGAGAGGGGUGCCAGGCGGGGGUCGAUACCCACGCACACCGGGUCUGGUUCGGUCGACCCGCCUUCCCAGCUGGGAUCUCGAGUGUAGACCCGCGCACCGCCCGAUGCCGUCUGGGGCUGCCUGUGCCAAUCACCUCCCUCAGUUCUCAUCGCGCGGCCGCUGCUUUCGCCUGGCUGCGGGACUCACCGAGCGCAAAACCCCGAGAUCUCGAGACACGCACGCGGCGGGGCGCCGCUUGGGCCCCCUGAUCCGGGGCG
Ictidomys tridecemlineatus (thirteen-lined ground squirrel) is the source of this 4005-nucleotide non-coding RNA. NCBI's taxonomy places the organism in Eukaryota, Metazoa, Chordata, Mammalia, Rodentia, Sciuridae. The record is from RefSeq and is a predicted model, not a curated record.